UACGGGGGGGGCAAGCGUUGUUCGGAAUUACUGGGCGUAAAGGGUUCGUAGGUGGCCGACUAAGUCAGACGUGAAAUCCCUCAGCUCAACUGGGGAACUGCGUCUGAUACUGGUUGGCUUGAGUGCAGGAGAGGAACGCGGAAUUCCAGGUGUAGCGGUGAAAUGCGUAGAUAUCUGGAGGAACACCGGUGGCGAAGGCGGCGUUCUGGACUGCAACUGACACUGAGGAACGAAAGCCAGGGGAGCAAACGGG
This 253-nucleotide ribosomal RNA is filed under the name uncultured bacterium. RNAcentral's name for it is "partial 16S ribosomal RNA". It matches the Rfam family "Bacterial small subunit ribosomal RNA", at positions 524 to 776 of the family's 1533-position model. The record is from RNAcentral.